UGCCAUUUUCCGUGGAUAUAAACAAAGC
RNAcentral lists this non-coding RNA (28 nucleotides) under Mus musculus (house mouse). Lineage: Eukaryota; Metazoa; Chordata; Mammalia; Rodentia; Muridae. The record is from RNAcentral.